Molecule: ribosomal RNA, 497 nt
Filed under: uncultured bacterium
Lineage: Bacteria
Description: partial 16S ribosomal RNA
Rfam family: Bacterial small subunit ribosomal RNA
Source: RNAcentral
GAUGAACGCUGGCGGCGUGCCUAAUACAUGCAAGUCGAGCGAACAGACGAGGAGCUUGCUCCUCUGACGUUAGCGGCGGACGGGUGAGUAACACGUGGAUAACCUACCUAUAAGACUGGGAUAACUUCGGGAAACCGGAGCUAAUACCGGAUAAUAUAUUGAACCGCAUGGUUCAAUAGUGAAAGACGGUUUUGCUGUCACUUAUAGAUGGAUCCGCGCCGCAUUAGCUAGUUGGUAAGGUAACGGCUUACCAAGGCAACGAUGCGUAGCCGACCUGAGAGGGUGAUCGCCCACACUAGAACUGAGAGACGGUCCAGACUCCGACGGGAGGCAGCAGUAGGGAAUGUUCCGCAAUGGGCGAAAGCCUGACGGAGCAACGCGGCGUGAGUGAUGAAGGUCUUCGGAUCGUAAAACUCUGUUAUUAGGGAAGAACAAAUGUGUAAGUAACUAUGCACGUCUUGACGGUACCUAAGCAGAAAGCAACGGCUAACUACGUG